RNAcentral lists this ribosomal RNA (346 nucleotides) under uncultured bacterium. Its description in RNAcentral is "partial 16S ribosomal RNA". It matches the Rfam family "Bacterial small subunit ribosomal RNA", at positions 338 to 681 of the family's 1533-position model. The record is from RNAcentral.
CCUACGGGUGGCAGCAGUGAGGAAUAUUGGUCAAUGGGCGCGAGCCUGAACCAGCCAAGUAGCGUGAAGGAUGACUGCCCUACGGGUUGUAAACUUCUUUUAGAAAGGAAUAAAGUGAGGCACGUGUGCCUUUUUGUAUGUACUUUAUGAAUAAGGAUCGGCUAACUCCGGGCCAGCAGCCGCGGUAAUACGGAGGAUCCGAGCGUUAUCCGGAUGUAUUUGGUUUAAAGGGAGCGUCGAGGGGUUGUUAAGUCAGUUGUGAAAUUUUGCGGCUCAAACGUAAAAUUGCAUUUGAUACUGGCAGUCUUGACUACAGUUGCGUUAGGCGGAUUUCGUUGUGUAGCGG